RNAcentral lists this ribosomal RNA (841 nucleotides) under Chaetothyriales sp. A994. RNAcentral describes it as "SSU rRNA". It matches the Rfam family "Bacterial small subunit ribosomal RNA", at positions 254 to 1207 of the family's 1533-position model. The record is from RNAcentral. Lineage: Eukaryota; Fungi; Ascomycota; Eurotiomycetes; Chaetothyriales.
GUAAUAGUGUAAAACUAGCUCAUAUUCCGGUAGUCGGGACUGAGAGGUCGAUCGACCACAUUGGGUCUGAAAAAAGCCCACGGCAUAUUGUACAGCAGUGGGGAAUAUUGGUCAAUAGCCUAACGGCUGAACCAGCAAUUUGGAAGAAUGAAAAACGAAUAAGUCGUAUAAAAUUCUAGGUAGAAAAAGGAUUUUGACUAAAUUCUAUCUAUAAGUCUUGGCCAAAUUACGUGCCAGCAGUCGCGGUAAUACGUAGAAGACUAGUGUUAUUCAUCUUUAAAAGGUUUAAAGGGUACCUAGACGGAAAAUCAAGCCAUAAUAGGGACUAAUUUUCUAGAGUUUUAUGAGAGAAGAUAGAAUUUUCGGAGGAGAGAUAAUAUCCGUUGAUACUGGAGAGACUGGUAACGGCGAAGGCGACCUUCUAUGUAAAAACUGACGUUGAGGGACGAAGCCUUGGGUAACGAGAAGGAUUCGACACCCUAGUAGUCCUUGGAGACAAUUAUGAAUGUCAUAGGCUAGAUCAAUUUAGUCUAUAAAUGAAAGUGUAAGCAUUCCACCUCAUGAGUAAAGCGGCAACGCUCAAAUUGAAAUCAUUAGACCGUAUCUGAAACCAGUAGUGAAGUAUGUUAUUUAAUUCGAUGAUCCGCGAAUAACCUUACCACGCAUUGAAUAUUAUUUAAUUAUUACAAGUGUUGCACGGCUGUUUUUAGUUAAUGUCGUGAGAUUAAGGUUAACACCUAUAAUUAACGCAAACCCUUGCUUUAUUUAUUUUUAUAAAGUAGUUCUCCGUUUAUAUUGGAUAGAUAAAAGGGACUAAGACAAGUCAUCAUGGCCUUAAUGG